CCUACGGGAGGCUGCAGUGGGGAAUAUUGCACAAUGGGGGAAACCCUGAUGCAGCGACGCCGCGUGAGUGAAGAAGUAUUUCGGUAUGUAAAGCUCUAUCAGCAGGGAAGAAAAUGACGGUACCUGAUUAAGAAGCCCCGGCUAACUACGUGCCAGCAGCCGCGGUAAUACGUAGGGGGCAAGCGUUAUCCGGAUUUACUGGGUGGAAAGGGAGCGUAGACGGCAGUACAAGUCUGGAGUGAAAUGCCGGGGCUUAACCCCGGAACUGCUUUGGAAACUGGCCAGCUAGAGUGCAGGAGAGGUAAGUGGAAUUCCUAGUGUAGCGGUGAAAUGCGUAGAUAUUAGGAGGAACACCAGUGGCGAAGGCGACUUACUGGACUGUAACUGACGUUGAGGCUCGAAAGCGUGGGGAGCAAACAGGAUUAGAUACCCGUGUAGUC
Molecule: ribosomal RNA, 440 nt
Filed under: uncultured bacterium
Lineage: Bacteria
Description: partial 16S ribosomal RNA
Rfam family: Bacterial small subunit ribosomal RNA
Source: RNAcentral